Phascolarctos cinereus (koala) is the source of this 535-nucleotide long non-coding RNA. RefSeq lists it as uncharacterized. The record is from RefSeq and is a predicted model, not a curated record. Lineage: Eukaryota; Metazoa; Chordata; Mammalia; Diprotodontia; Phascolarctidae.
CCUCUCUCUCCUAGGCCUUUAUGAAUAGCUUCUCUCGGGCUGUGGCCUUGGAAUACCAGUCCUCUGGAGUUAUCAUACAGACUCUUACUCCUCUGGCAGUUUCCAGCAACAUGAGCCAGAUGCACCCACAAAAUUCUUGGUGAAGUCUUCAGAUGACUUUGCCAGAGAAGCCUUGGACUGUAGGCGUCUCUAACUUCACCUGGGGGUGUUUCCUACACUCUGUCCACGGUUUGUUGCUGUGGCCCCUGAACUCCAACUUCAAAUUCAUCAUCCCGACUCUGAUGUUCUUCUACUCUCUGUUCAAUGCAUCCAGAAGAUCCUGAAGAAGUUGUGGGAAGGAGGGGGGCUCAAUUGGAGGCCCUUUGUCGGGGGAGGGGUGAUGACUGCUGCUGGUGGUGGGAAGAGGGGGGCAAACAGAGGGGUUUCCUCUGCUUGGCUCAUCCCUCUGUCCUGCUUUCUAGGGUCCCUUUGAGGAGAAACCCUAGCCCUGAGAAGCUGUAGCUGUAACUUGUUAUAAUAAAUUGUUUUCCCUUUA